RNAcentral lists this transfer RNA (65 nucleotides) under Neolethaeus assamensis. RNAcentral describes it as "tRNA-Gly". Lineage: Eukaryota; Metazoa; Arthropoda; Insecta; Hemiptera; Rhyparochromidae. The record is from RNAcentral.
ACUUUCUUAGUAUAACAAAUAUAUUUGACUUCCAAUCAAAAGAUCUUUCAAACUAAGAGAAAGUA